CCUACGGGAGGCUGCAGUAGGGAAUCUUCCACAAUGGGCGAAAGCCUGAUGGAGCAACGCCGCGUGGGUGAAGAAUGUCUUCGGAUCGUAAAACCCUGUUGUUAGAGAAGAAAGUGCGUCAGAGUAACUGUUAACGUUUCGACGGUAUCUAACCAGAAAGCCACGGCUAACUACGUGCCAGCAGCCGCGGUAAUACGUAGGUGGCAAGCGUUAUCCGGAUUUAUUGGGCGUAAAGGGAACGCAGUCGGUCUUUUAAGUCUGAUGUGAAAGCCUUCGGCUUAACCGGAGUAGUGCAUUGGAAACUGGGAGACUUGAGUGCAGAAGAGGAGAGUGGAACUCCAUGUGUAGCGGUGAAAUGCGUAGAUAUAUGGAAGAACACCAGUGGCGAAAGCGGCUCUCUGGUCUGUAACUGACGCUGAGGUUCGAAAGCGUGGGUAGCAAACAGGAUUAGAUACCCGUGUAGUC
RNAcentral lists this ribosomal RNA (465 nucleotides) under uncultured bacterium. RNAcentral describes it as "partial 16S ribosomal RNA". It matches the Rfam family "Bacterial small subunit ribosomal RNA", at positions 338 to 795 of the family's 1533-position model. The record is from RNAcentral.